UACGUAGGUGGCAAGCGUUAUCCGGAUUCACUGGGCGUAAAGAGCGCGUAGGUGGUCCUUCAAGUCAGAUGUGAAAAAUCCCGGCUUAACUGGGACAGGCCAUCUGAUACUGCUGGACUUGAGGAUGGUAGAGGGAGGUGGAAUUCCCGGUGUAGUGGUGAAAUGCGUAGAUAUCGGGAGGAACACCAGUGGCGAAAGCGGCCUCCUAGGCCAUUCCUGACACUGAGGCGCGAAAGCGUGGGGAG
This 245-nucleotide ribosomal RNA is filed under the name uncultured bacterium. Its description in RNAcentral is "partial 16S ribosomal RNA". It matches the Rfam family "Bacterial small subunit ribosomal RNA", at positions 524 to 768 of the family's 1533-position model. The record is from RNAcentral.